ACACAUGCAAGUCGAACGAUGAUCCCCAGCUUGCUGGGGUGAUUAGUGGCGAACGGGUGAGUAACACGUGAGUAACCUGCCCUUGACUCUGGGAUAAGCGUUGGAAACGACGUCUAAUACCGGAUACGACCAGCCCUGGCAUCGGGUGUUGGUGGAAAGAAUUUUGGUCAAGGAUGGACUCGCGGCCUAUCAGGUAGUUGGUGAGGUAAUGGCUCACCAAGCCUACGACGGGUAGCCGGCCUGAGAGGGUGACCGGCCACACUGGGACUGAGACACGGCCCAGACUCCUACGGGAGGCAGCAGUGGGGAAUAUUGCACAAUGGGCGAAAGCCUGAUGCAGCAACGCCGCGUGAGGGACGACGGCCUUCGGGUUGUAAACCUCUUUUAGCAGGGAAGAAGCGAAAGUGACGGUACCUGCAGAAAAAGCACCGGCUAACUACGUGCCAGCAGCCGCGGUAAUACGUAGGGUGCAAGCGUUGUCCGGAAUUAUUGGGCGUAAAGAGCUCGUAGGCGGUUUGUCGCGUCUGCUGUGAAAACCCGAGGCUCA
This 547-nucleotide ribosomal RNA is filed under the name unidentified microorganism. RNAcentral describes it as "bacterial SSU rRNA". It matches the Rfam family "Bacterial small subunit ribosomal RNA", at positions 51 to 611 of the family's 1533-position model. The record is from RNAcentral.